Molecule: ribosomal RNA, 461 nt
Filed under: uncultured bacterium
Lineage: Bacteria
Description: bacterial SSU rRNA
Rfam family: Bacterial small subunit ribosomal RNA
Source: RNAcentral
GACGAACGCUAGCGGCGUGCUUAACACAUGCAAGUCGAGCGGUAAGGCCCUUCGGGGUACACGAGCGGCGAACGGGUGAGUAACACGUGGGUGAUCUGCCUUGCACUUCGGGAUAAGCCUGGGAAACCGGGUCUAAUACCGGGUACGACCUGAGGUUGCAUGACUUCAGGUGGAAAGAUUUAUCGGUGCGAGAUGGGCCCGCGGCCUAUCAGCUUGUUGGUGAGGUAACGGCUCACCAAGGCGACGACGGGUAGCCGACCUGAGAGGGUGACCGGCCACACUGGGACUGAGACACGGCCCAGACUCCUACGGGAGGCAGCAGUGGGGAAUAUUGCACAAUGGGCGAAAGCCUGAUGCAGCGACGCCGCGUGCGGGAUGACGGCCUUCGGGUUGCAAACCGCUUUUGACAGGGACGAAGCGCAGUGACUGUACCUGUAGAAUAAGGACCGGCCAACUACGUG